UAAAACAAGUGUUAAUAUAUCAAAGUACCCACUUUCUUAUAACAAAAAUAAAUUUUACCCACUCAAAUUAAAACUUAAAAUUUUACCAACUUUUUGUGUUAAAAGACUAAAUUGCCCUUCUAUAUAAAUGGGCAAACCUCUCAUUUUUUUCUCUCUCUUCUCUCUCUCUGCACGCUCUCUUCUCUCUCUCUCUCUCUCUCUCUCUCUUCUCGAUCUGAGCUUGCUGAGGCCGAGGACUGCGGCGGCGAUCGGCUUCCUCCGCUGCUCCAGGCUGUCCUCCUCCCCGAUCAGCGUCGGCGGACGGCGGAGCACGUAGAUCUCGCAGCGUGCCGAGGACUGCGGCGGCGAUCGGCUUCCUCCGCUGGUCCAGGCUGUCCUCCUCCCCAAUCAGCGUUAGCGGACGGCUGAGCACGUAGAUCUCACAGCGUGCCGAGGACUGCGGCGGCGAUCGGCUUCCUCCGCUGCACUCUCUCUCUCUCCCUCUCCCUUCCUUUCUCUCUUCCGGCAGCCGUGGCAGGAGGUGAGGGCGGCGGCCGAGGAUGGAAGACGGCGGCGAGUCCAUGGACUGCGAUUUAGCCUCUUCCUCCUGCUUUUGCCAUCGCCUCUGCAUUUUUUCGCGUCACUGGAGCGGUGCUCGUGCGUCAACGUCGACGCUGACGGUAAAGACGACGACGAUGAGGUUAACGACAAAUCUGGAGGAGUUUUGUCAAUUGCUAGAAAAUAUUGGAGAUUGGUCGUGGCGAUGUGGUUUCCUGAUUUAGUUUCCUGAUUUGGUUUUUGAUUUAGUUUGCUGAUUUGGGGAAAUCGUGCCCUAAUUUGAGAUGAACUUGGGGCUUUUUUAAAUUUUUCUUAUUUUGGGGAUUUUUUAUGUUUACAAGCGAUGUAUAUCGUUUCAAGAAAGGAAAUGUAAUAAAUUUUCUGUAUAAGUUUUGUUUUGAUUGAAUACUAAGUAUAUUGGAUCACAGAUUGAAGAAAUUGAUGAAAAUCGCUCAAUUUUGUGCAUAUGUUCUUGAAUUCACAACCAAGUUUAUGAAUUCACAACUGAAUUAUCGGCGUUGGUUGUGAAUUCAGAAUUGAAAUAGUGGCGUUGGUUGUGAAUUCAAGUUUUAUCGGUUGUGAAUUCACAACUUGAAAUAGUGUGGGUUGUGAAUUCACGCGAAUUCACAACUAACACUAUUUAUAGUUGUGAAUUCAAACUUUAAAACUUGAAUUCACAACCAAUACUUGUUAUUCAGUUGUGAAUUCGAGUUUUAAAGCUUGAAUUCACAACCAAAAUUUAUUUUGGUUGUGAAAUUCACUGGUUGUGAAUUCGUGGGUAUUUGUAAAAAAAUUAUAUGUAAGGGUAAAAUGGUAACUGUGGGUAUUUUUUUAAAUUUUUAUAUUAGUGGGUAAAAUUUAUUUUUACUAUAUAAAAGUGGCUAUUUUCAAAAUCCACUCUUAAAACAAUCCUAUUACCUAAUUAAUCAAAAGCCCAACAGAUAGUCACUUAAGUUAGCCCAUUAGAAAAUUAAUAGGCUCCUCAAAAUUAACCUGAGCCCAAUUAAGUAUUUUUUUGAUUUAAUAAGCAAUUUAGAAUUUUAGAAAACAUUUUAAUUCUUCUUCCUUAACUCAUUCAAUUCUCUUUUAUUGAGCAGAACACUUUUCUCUCUCUCUCUCUGCUCUCUACCGCCCCUCUCUGUCCCUCUCUUUCCCGGCGAGCGUCGCCGGCCUUCGCCGCCUCCGGCGCGGCGAGGUCGGCCUCUUUUCUUCCCCCUUUCUUUCCUUCCAUUUCUUCUCCUCUUUCUCCUGAAUUUAGAAUAGAUCUAGGGUUUCUAAAUUUCCUGAAGUUUGUUCCUCCGGUGAACUCUGCCACUGCCGCCGCCGUACUCGUCGCGCCGCCACCCCCCUCUGAUUCAGGAAUCGGUGAUGCAAGAUGGUUUGAGAUGGUUUCAUCGGCAGUUCAUCUACAGCCCAAGAUUCCCUUUUAAAGACUCAGCCUUUUAUUUAUUGAAUUAACUGUUGUAACUAAAUGUAUUCUCAAAGUGUGUGUUAAAGAAAAUUGAUGUUAUCUCUACUA
This is a long non-coding RNA of Salvia miltiorrhiza (redroot sage), 2056 nucleotides long. RefSeq lists it as uncharacterized. Lineage: Eukaryota; Viridiplantae; Streptophyta; Magnoliopsida; Lamiales; Lamiaceae. The record is from RefSeq and is a predicted model, not a curated record. The transcript has 2 exons.